This 74-nucleotide transfer RNA is filed under the name Acidaminococcus intestini RyC-MR95. It matches the Rfam family "tRNA". From Rfam's summary of the family: Transfer RNA (tRNA) molecules are approximately 80 nucleotides in length. Their secondary structure includes four short double-helical elements and three loops (D, anti-codon, and T loops). The record is from Rfam by way of RNAcentral. Lineage: Bacteria; Bacillati; Bacillota; Negativicutes; Acidaminococcales; Acidaminococcaceae.
CGGGGCGUGGCGCAGUUUGGUAGCGCGCUUCCUUGGGGUGGAAGAGGUCGUGAGUUCGAAUCUCGCCGCUCCGA